GAUGAGGAACGUAGCGAAAUGCGAUAAGUAAUGUGAAUUGCAGAAUUCAGUGAAUCAUCGAAUCUUUGAACGCACAUUGCGCCCGCCAGCAUUCUGGCGGGCAUGCCUGUUCGAGCGUCAUUUCAACCCUCGACUUCCCUUUGGGGAAAUCGGCGUUGGGGACUGGCAGCAUACCGCCGGCCCCGAAAUGGAGUGGCGGCCCGUCCGCGGCGACCUCUGCGUAGUAAUCCAACCUCGCACCGGAACCCCGACGUGGCCACGCCGUAAAACACCCCACUUUCUGAACGUUGACCUCGGAUCAGGUAGGAAUACCCGCUGAACUUAAGCAUAUCAAUAAGCGGAGGA
This 345-nucleotide unclassified non-coding RNA is filed under the name soil metagenome. RNAcentral's name for it is "partial contains 5.8S ribosomal RNA, internal transcribed spacer 2, and large subunit ribosomal RNA". The stretch from base 1 to 120 matches the Rfam family "5.8S ribosomal RNA", at positions 35 to 154 of the family's 154-position model. The record is from RNAcentral.